Molecule: ribosomal RNA, 214 nt
Filed under: Amblyomma vikirri
Lineage: Eukaryota; Metazoa; Arthropoda; Arachnida; Ixodida; Ixodidae
Description: partial 16S ribosomal RNA
Rfam family: Bacterial large subunit ribosomal RNA (bases 1-114)
Source: RNAcentral
GAUGUUGGAUUAGGAUUCUUUUUUAAUGAAGAAGUUAAAAUAAGAAGUUUGUUCAACUUUUAAAUUCCUACAUGAUCUGAGUUUAGACCGAUGAGAAUCAGGUUGGUUUCUAUCUUAAUUUUUAAUUAAAAAAUAUGUUAGUACGAAAGGAAUUCAUAUUUUAAAAUUUUUAAUAAAUAUUGAAACACUCUUUUUUGCAUCAAUUUUUGGAAUU